This 211-nucleotide unclassified non-coding RNA is filed under the name plant metagenome. RNAcentral describes it as "partial contains small subunit ribosomal RNA, internal transcribed spacer 1, and 5.8S ribosomal RNA". The record is from RNAcentral.
UUUCCGUAGGUGAACCUGCGGAAGGACCAUUCAUAAUAAAGAGUAUUAUGGCACUUUUUAAAAAUCCAUAUCCACCUUGUGUGCACUGUUAGAUCUCGUCAAUCUUGGCGAGAUUUUGAUACAUAAACUCAUUAUAUAACUAAUUUGUCUGAAAAAUAUUAUGAAUACUUAAUUUAAAAUACAACUUUCAACAACGGAUCUCUUGGCUCUC